This 387-nucleotide unclassified non-coding RNA is filed under the name soil metagenome. Its description in RNAcentral is "partial contains 5.8S ribosomal RNA, internal transcribed spacer 2, and large subunit ribosomal RNA". The stretch from base 1 to 120 matches the Rfam family "5.8S ribosomal RNA", at positions 35 to 154 of the family's 154-position model. The record is from RNAcentral.
GAUGAAGAACGUAGCGAAAUGCGAUAAGUAAUGUGAAUUGCAGAAUUCAGUGAAUCAUCGAAUCUUUGAACGCACCUUGCGCUCCUUGGUAUUCCGAGGAGCAUGCCUGUUUGAGUGUCAUGAAAUUCUCAACCUUUUCAGCUUUCUUUGUUGAUCAGGCUUGGAUGUGGGAGUAUGCGGGCUUCUCAGAAGUCGGCUCUCCUGAAAUGCAUUAGCGGGACCUUUGUUGCCUGGCUUUGGUGUGAUAAUUAUCUACGCCAUUGUAGUCAAGCAGCUUAAAAUGAGGUUUCAGCUUCUAACCGUCUCCCCUGAGACAACUUUUUGACAAUUUGACCUCAAAUCAGGUAGGACUACCCGCUGAACUUAAGCAUAUCAAUAAGAGGAGGA